AUUGAACGCUGGCGGCAGGCUUAACACAUGCAAGUCGAGCGGGGUGAUGGUGCUUGCACUAUCACUUAGCGGCGGACGGGUGAGUAAUGCUUAGGAAUCUGCCUAUUAGUGGGGGACAACAUCUCGAAAGGGAUGCUAAUACCGCAUACGUCCUACGGGAGAAAGCAGGGGAUCACUUGUGACCUUGCGCUAAUAGAUGAGCCUAAGUCGGAUUAGCUAAUUGGUGGGGUAAAGGCCUACCAAGGCGACGAUCUGUAGCGGGUCUGAGAGGAUGAACCGCCACACUGGGACUGAGACACGGCCCAGACUCCUACGGGAGGCAGCAGUGGGGAAUAUUGGACAAUGGGGGGAACCCUGAUCCAGCCAUGCCGCGUGUGUGAAGAAGGCCUUAUGGUUGUAAAGCACUUUAAGCGAGGAGGAGGCUCUUUUGGUUAAUACCCAAGAAGAGUGGACGUUACUCGCAGAAUAAGCACCGGCUAACUCUGUGCCAGCCGCCGCCGUAA
Molecule: ribosomal RNA, 503 nt
Filed under: uncultured bacterium
Lineage: Bacteria
Description: partial 16S ribosomal RNA
Rfam family: Bacterial small subunit ribosomal RNA
Source: RNAcentral